RNAcentral lists this ribosomal RNA (388 nucleotides) under Rhabdophis nigrocinctus (green keelback). RNAcentral describes it as "partial 12S ribosomal RNA". Lineage: Eukaryota; Metazoa; Chordata; Lepidosauria; Squamata; Natricidae. The record is from RNAcentral.
ACAGUUAAAACACCAAUUGUUCGCCAAAUAACUACGAGUAAAAACUUAAAAUUUAAAAGACUUGACGGUACUUCACACCACCCUAGAGGAGCCUGUCUAAUAACCGAUACCCCACGAUUAACCCGACCCGCCCUAGCCCAAUCAGUCUAUAUACCGCCAUCGCCAGCUCACCUUGUAAAAGAAACACAGCGAGCCUAAAAGCACUACCACUAACACGAUAGGUCGAGGUGUAACCAAUGGGCGGGAGCCAGAUGGGCUACAUUUUCUAACAUAGAAAAUACGGAUGAACUAUGAAAAAGAAACCGAAGGAGGAUUUAGCAGUAUGCUGAGGACAAAAUGCUCAGCCGAAAUAAACGCAAUGAAGUGCGUACACACCGCCCGUCAUCCC